CGGACGGGUGAGUAACGCGUGGGUAACCUGCCUCGAUACAGGGGAUAACAGUUAGAAAUGACUGCUAAUACCGCAUAAGCGCACGGUUUCGCAUGGAACAGUGUAGAAAACUCCGGUGGUAUGGGAUGGACCCGCGUCUGAUUAGCUGGUUGGCGAGGGUAACGGCCCACCAAGGCGACGAUCAGUAGCCGGCCUGAGAGGGUGAACGGCCACAUUGGGACUGAGACACGGCCCAAACUCCUACGGGAGGCAGCAG
This 256-nucleotide ribosomal RNA is filed under the name uncultured bacterium. Its description in RNAcentral is "partial 16S ribosomal RNA". It matches the Rfam family "Bacterial small subunit ribosomal RNA", at positions 99 to 354 of the family's 1533-position model. The record is from RNAcentral.